CGAGAUCCGGGGAUAACACCUGGGAACAGAUGCUAAUACCGGGAUAACAACAGAUGAUGCCUAUCAACUGUUUAAAAGAUGGUUCUGCUAUCACUCUUGGGAUGGACCCUGCGGUGCAUUAGCUAGUUGGUAGGGUAACGGCCUACCAAGGCGAUGAUGCAUAGCCGAGUUGAGAGACUGAUCGGCCACAUUGGGACUGAGACACGGCCCAAACUCCUACGGGAGGCAGCAGUAGGGAAUCUUCCACAAUGGACGCAAGUCUGAUGGAGCAACGCCGCGUGAGUGAAGAAGGGUUUCGGCUCGUAAAGCUCUGUUGUUGGUGAAGAAGGAUAGAGGUAGUAACUGGCCUUUAUUUGACGGUAAUCAACCAGAAAGUCACGGCUAACUACGUGCCAGCAGCCGCGGUAAU
RNAcentral lists this ribosomal RNA (409 nucleotides) under uncultured Lactobacillus sp. RNAcentral describes it as "bacterial SSU rRNA". It matches the Rfam family "Bacterial small subunit ribosomal RNA", at positions 132 to 524 of the family's 1533-position model. Lineage: Bacteria; Bacillati; Bacillota; Bacilli; Lactobacillales; Lactobacillaceae. The record is from RNAcentral.